AAUUUUGGAAAAUGGGGGCAACCCUGAUCCAGCCAUCCCGCGUGUGCGCUGAAGGACNNNUGGAANUCAAGCACGUUUGGCAGNGACNAAUAGGCACUGGCUAAUACCUGGAGCUGCUGACGGUACCUGCAGAAUAAGCACCGGCUCACUAGCAUCCAGCAGCCGCGGUAAUACAUAGGGUGCAAGCGUUAAUCGGAUUUACCGGGCGUAAAGCGUGCGCAGGCGGUUCGGAAAGAAGGAUGUGAAAUCCCAGGGCUUAACCUUGGAACUGCAUUCUUAACUGCCGGGCUAGAGUAUGUCAGAGGGGGGUAGAAUUCCGCGUGUAGCAGUGAAAUGCGUAGAGAUGCGGAGGAAUACCGAUGGCGAAGGCGGCCCCCUGGGAUAAUACUGACGCUCAUGCACGAAAGCGUGGGGAGCAAAC
Molecule: ribosomal RNA, 421 nt
Filed under: uncultured bacterium
Lineage: Bacteria
Description: partial 16S ribosomal RNA
Rfam family: Bacterial small subunit ribosomal RNA
Source: RNAcentral